RNAcentral lists this transfer RNA (66 nucleotides) under Phyllostomus discolor (pale spear-nosed bat). It matches the Rfam family "tRNA". From Rfam's summary of the family: Transfer RNA (tRNA) molecules are approximately 80 nucleotides in length. Their secondary structure includes four short double-helical elements and three loops (D, anti-codon, and T loops). Lineage: Eukaryota; Metazoa; Chordata; Mammalia; Chiroptera; Phyllostomidae. The record is from Rfam by way of RNAcentral.
GGCCCUGUGGUGCGUAGCACAUUGAAUUGCAAAUUCAAAGGAGCAGCUUCAAUCCUGCCCGGGCUU